GAAAGAUAGAGCUCAAUUCCAGCUGAUUGAAAAAUGGCAAAUCAGAAAAGGGUUCUCUUACUAUGUGGAGAUUACGUUGAAGACUAUGAGGUGAUGGUACCAUUUCAAGCUCUACUAGCCUAUGGACUAGCCGUUGAUGCUGUUUGUCCUGGAAAGAAAUCCGGUGACAUUUGCCGCACUGCCGUCCAUCAGCUUUCUGGUCACCAGACAUAUUCAGAGUCCCGCGGACACAAUUUUGCUGUUAAUGCAACCUUCGAUGAAAUCGAGGCUACAAAGUAUGAUGGCUUGUUCAUACCAGGAGGACGUGCUCCAGAAUAUCUGGCCAUGAAUGAAGCUGUGUUGGACUUGGUGAAAAGUUUUGCCAACACUAAAAAGCCAAUUGUCUCUGUCUGUCAUGGACAACUGAUCCUGGCGGCUGCAGAUGUGGUCAGAGGUCGAAAGUGCACAGCUUAUCCUGCUGUCAAGCCGGUGCUUGUUGCGGCUGGUGCCCAUUGGGAAGAGCCAGAAACCCUGGCCUCAUGUACCAUCGAUGGUAAUCUCAUCACUGGAUCUACUUACGAAGGAAACCCUGAUUUCAUUCGACUCUUUGUUAAGGCACUCGGUGGCAGCAUAGUUGGUUCUGGUAAAAGAAUCCUAUUUCUAUGUGGGGAUUUCAUGGAAGACUAUGAAGUCAAGGUACCUUUUCAGUCCCUCCAAGCUCUUGAAUGCCAUGUUGAUGCUGUUUGCCCCAAGAAGAAAGCCGGAGAGAAAUGCCCCACGGCUGUGCACGACUUUGAAGGUGACCAGACUUAUAGUGAGAAGCCAGGUCACGAUUUUACCCUGAAUGCCAAUUUUGAAAGUGUGGAUGUUUCAAGCUAUGAUGGACUUGUAAUUCCCGGAGGCCGAGCUCCAGAAUACCUUGCCCUGGAUGAUGAUGUUAUUAAGUUGGUCCAGGAAUUUAUGGAGUCCAAAAAACCAGUUGCAUCAAUCUGCCAUGGGCAACAGAUACUAUCUGCUGCUGGUGUUCUCAAGGGUAAGAAGUGUACUGCGUACCCUGCUGUGAAACUUAACGUGAUACUAGGAGGGGCGACAUGGCUAGAACCAGAACCAAUAGACCGUUGCUUCACGGACGGACAUCUUGUGACGGGGGCAGCUUGGCCAGGUCAUCCUGAGUUUAUUUCUCAGUUCAUGGCACUGCUUGGAGUGCAUGUAAAAUUUUAGGCUACUUGUUUGUUUGACAUGUUUUGCCAGGUGAUGAGAAUAAUUUUUUUUUAAUUGUAACAGAAUAAUGAGUGUGUUUUUAUAAUGUUCGAAAAUCACUAAAACUACUGAUGUCCGCAUAAAUGUACUCCCUUGGGAAUUCUAAAUGUGACUUUUUUACCUAUUUACUUAGGGGGCGUUUGGUAGGAUGUAUUAAAAGAAAUAAUUCAUGUAUUAGAUGUGGUAUAAUUUAAUGCUGUGUUUGGUAGGAAUGUGAGCCUAUGUAUAACUAAUCCAUGGAUUAGUUAAUACAUCCCACAUGGUAUUAUGUGGUGUAUUGCUAAUACCUUCCAUUUGGAGGUAUUAGCUCUAAUACUAUGGAC
RNAcentral lists this unclassified non-coding RNA (1562 nucleotides) under Hevea brasiliensis (rubber tree). The record is from RNAcentral. Lineage: Eukaryota; Viridiplantae; Streptophyta; Magnoliopsida; Malpighiales; Euphorbiaceae.